AGUGACUGGCCUAGCUUCCCAGGCUACAUCUUUCUACUGCGCUGUGCUGGAUGCUUCCUGUCCUUGAACAUCAGACUCUAAGUUCUUCAGUUCUGGGACUUGGACUGGCUCUCCUCACUCCUCAGCUUGCAGACAGUCUAUUGUGGGACCUUGUGAUCUUAUGACUACUCUCUUUUUGAGGAUCUAAGCCUUACUAGAAACUGAACACUUAACCAUGGGACAUCAAGUUCUCAUCUGACCAGACCUGCUCAUCAUGAAUUUGGUAUUAUUCUGACCAACAAGCUGUGAAGUUGGGCAUGAACAGCAGCAAAUAGAAGUAAUAUGUGUAUGAUCAGGCUGGAGCAGGCCCUGAAGGCACAAGGUUCAAGUUAUCAAGGAGAAGAGCGAACAUCACUCAAAGACCUUUCCUCUUCUUCCAGCAAGAAGGCCCUUACCAGAUGCCAGCACCUUGAAAUUGGUCUUUCUAGCCUCCAGAUCUGUCAUUCAUGCAUCUGUGAUCAGCUGCCAGACUGGGUGGAGGCUGGUUCAUCUGAAAUGACUUCAGCUAGGAUGACCUGACUCUGCUUUUUUACAUUUAAGUAUCUUCUGAGGCUUAUUCACACGACAGUAAUAGAGAUCCAAAAGCAAAAUGGGAAAUAUGCAAAAUCUUUCAAGGGCUAGGCACAAAAUUAGUCUGUUAUUUCUACCACAUUUUACUAAUCAAUGCAAGUUAUAAGGUCAGACAAGAUUUAAGGGGUGAAGAAAGAGUGGCAAAGUUGCUAUACAAAGAGGAGUGGAUAUAGGAAGAGAUAAAGAAUUAUGGUUAUUUUUGCAAUCUCAUGCAAAUAGCAUUUUUGCAAUAUAAGUUUAGUUUCAUGGCUUUAUUGAGAAAAGCUUAAAUCAAAAACUGCAGAAUCUUUUUGUGUGUGUUUUUUAUUCCCCUGGCACAUUCUAGCAUAUACUUACAAAUACCAAUUCCUGGCAUGGAUGCAGAUCAACUGCUAAUGAGAAUGCGAAAUAAUACGGCCACUUUGGAAAACAGUUUGAUAAUUUCUUAUAAAAAGUUAAUUAUACACUU
This 1057-nucleotide long non-coding RNA is filed under the name Homo sapiens (human). RNAcentral's name for it is "HSALNT0369549". Lineage: Eukaryota; Metazoa; Chordata; Mammalia; Primates; Hominidae. The record is from RNAcentral.